This 703-nucleotide ribosomal RNA is filed under the name gamma proteobacterium H262. Its description in RNAcentral is "bacterial SSU rRNA". It matches the Rfam family "Bacterial small subunit ribosomal RNA", at positions 52 to 746 of the family's 1533-position model. The record is from RNAcentral. Lineage: Bacteria; Pseudomonadati; Pseudomonadota; Gammaproteobacteria.
CACAUGCAAGUCGAGCGGUAACAUUUCUAGCUUGCUAGAAGAUGACGAGCGGCGGACGGGUGCGUAACACGUAGGAAUCUGCCCGGUAGUGGGGGAUAGCCCGGAGAAAUCCGGAUUAAUACCGCAUACGCCCCAAGGGGGAAAGCAGGGGAUCUUCGGACCUUGCGCUAUCGGAUGAGCCUGCGUCGGAUUAGCUUGUUGGUGGGGUAAAGGCCUACCAAGGCGACGAUCCGUAGCUGAUCUGAGAGGAUGAUCAGCCACACUGGGACUGAGACACGGCCCAGACUCCUACGGGAGGCAGCAGUGGGGAAUAUUGCACAAUGGGCGAAAGCCUGAUGCAGCCAUGCCGCGUGUGUGAAGAAGGCUCUAGGGUUGUAAAGCACUUUCAGCGAGGAGGAAAGGUUGACCAUUAAUACUCGGUAGCUGUGACGUUACUCGCAGAAGAAGCACCGGCUAACUCCGUGCCAGCAGCCGCGGUAAUACGGAGGGUGCGAGCGUUAAUCGGAAUUACUGGGCGUAAAGCGUGCGUAGGCGGCUGAUUAAGUUGGGUGUGAAAGCCCCGGGCUCAACCUGGGAACUGCAUCCAAAACUGAUCAGCUAGAGUGCGGAAGAGGAGUGUGGAAUUUCCUGUGUAGCGGUGAAAUGCGUAGAUAUAGGAAGGAACACCAGUGGCGAAGGCGACACUCUGGUCUGACACUGACGC